This 72-nucleotide transfer RNA is filed under the name Camelus bactrianus (Bactrian camel). It matches the Rfam family "tRNA". From Rfam's summary of the family: Transfer RNA (tRNA) molecules are approximately 80 nucleotides in length. Their secondary structure includes four short double-helical elements and three loops (D, anti-codon, and T loops). RNAcentral also lists the same sequence under 2 other names. The record is from Rfam by way of RNAcentral. Lineage: Eukaryota; Metazoa; Chordata; Mammalia; Artiodactyla; Camelidae.
AGGGCUAUAGCUCAGUGGUAGAGUGCAUGCUUAGCAUGCACAAGGUCCUGGGUUCAAUCCCCAGGACCUCCA